CGAACUCACAACCCCCAGAUCAAGAGUCACAUGCUCUACUUAUUGAGCCGGCCAGGCACCCCAUUUUUUGUUCAUUAUUAUUUGUGUCCCCCUGAAUUGUUUUGAAGUUACUUUUAGCUCGUUAUAAUACUAAGAUCUCCUCCUAUAGGUGGGGUUUUCUGCCAUUUUUUGAGCAUCCCGAUAUGCACUAGCCCGUUAGCAUGUUAGGCGUGCACAGUUGGGGCAAAGAGCCUGAGAGAAUAUGUCAUGGAACCAUCACCUGGUGAGCGGAGGCGGGACAAUCAGAGCCCUGCAGAUUCUCAGUGGUGCCACGUCGGAGGUAGAGCCUCAGUACUGGGUGUGGGAUCUGGGCCGAAGAAAGGAGCCCUCGUUUCUCAGCCACACUCACAGGAGGUUAGCCUCAGCAUUAGGUUGAUGGGGACAAGAUGAAACUGGCGAUGUCCUGCCCCAGUAUUUUAUCCUUGUGCCCAGAAUGUCAAUGUGAUGGCCGGAACUCCAACAGCCAUCUUAUACCAUGAAGACAAAAGUCUUGGGAUGGAGGAGUGAAAAGCUUGAAGAGCCUGUGUUCCUGAUGAUGUCUUAGAGUCUCUAGACUGCAUUUGUGUAUAGAUGUAUAUGUUCGAUGAUGAAACCUUAUCACAUGCAAGGCUUAUGAUUCAUUUUUUAAAGAGUUUAUUUUUUUAUUAAAUUUUUUUAAUGUUUAUUUUUGAGAGAGAGACAGAGCACGAGCGGGGGAGGGGUAGAGACA
Leopardus geoffroyi (Geoffroy's cat) is the source of this 748-nucleotide long non-coding RNA. RefSeq lists it as uncharacterized. The record is from RefSeq and is a predicted model, not a curated record. NCBI's taxonomy places the organism in Eukaryota, Metazoa, Chordata, Mammalia, Carnivora, Felidae. The transcript has 3 exons.